RNAcentral lists this long non-coding RNA (1626 nucleotides) under Homo sapiens (human). Its description in RNAcentral is "HSALNT0169642". The record is from RNAcentral. Lineage: Eukaryota; Metazoa; Chordata; Mammalia; Primates; Hominidae.
GUGGGGGUUAGGGGGGCACCGAGCAUUGUACUUCCCUGCAGACCCCCAGGGGCUGGGGCUGCUGAGGGGCUGCUCAGCACCUGUCCCGACCCCUCUGCUGCCCUCCUGGCUGCUGAUGGCUCCUGCCAGAUGCCCUGUUGUAGCAGGAUGUUGUUGGGAGUAUGGCCACCACCACCACCUACCUCCCAUGUGGACCACUUGUGCCACCCAAGAGGGCCUCCCUCUCUCCCCAACCUCGGUUCAGUAAACCCAGGGACCCCAUGCGUACCUCCAGAAGUGCAGCUGUGUUCUCCAAGCCCAGUGACUGACAGCUCCCCCUAAUGCCAUGGCUGCCGUGAGGGAGGAGUAGCUCCCCCAAGUUUCCCCAAGGUGGGCCCUGCAGCCCCCGUUCAGCCUUGGCGUGUUGCCCUGGCUCCCCACAUCUACGGAUUUGGGGCCUUCUCUUCUUAUUGAUUUCCUGUCACUGCAAUAACAGAUUCCCACAGACUUAGUGGCUUAAAACAACACAAAUGUAUCAUCUCACAGUUCCAGAGGGUGGAAGUCCAAACCGGGUCUCCCUGAGCGAGGGUCAAGGUGUUGGCAGGACUGCUUCCUUCUGGGGCCUCGAGGGUGAAUCUGUGCUCUUGGCUUUUCAGGCUUCUAGAAACUGCUUCAUUCCUUGGCAGUGGCCCCUCCCUGGAUCUUCAAAACCAGCAAUGGCAGGUUGAGUCAUUCCCAUGUCACCUGAUGGUGACUCUUUCCUGCUUCCGUCUUCUACUCACGGGGACCCCUGUGAUGACUUUGGGAGCACCUGGAUGAUCCAGGAAACUCUCCCCAUCUGAGGGAAUGGUUGGCAACCGUAAUUCCAACUGCAACCUUCAUUGUCCUGUGUCAUAGCAUAUUCACAGGCUCUAGGGACUAGGUUGUGACAUCUUCAAGGGGCCAUUAUUCCACCUCCCACACCUUCCCAACCCUGGCUGUGCUGGCCCUGACUGAGAGGAGGGGGUUUCCACUUCCGUCACCUGGCAAGGGAACCUCCACAGCCCAAGAAUAUUAACAUUUAUCAGGUGCCGGGCAUGGGCCUCAUGUGUUUUAUGUAAUUCAAUCCUCCCAACAAAAGUAUGAGAGCCAGCCCUGCAGCACAGCCUUCAACAUGAGCAACUCCUGCUCUCUGUAGCUCCAGCCCCAGCCUGGACCUAUCUUUCAGAGCCAUAAUGCUGAGACAGUCCCUGAGUCUUGGAUGAACACAGGACUCACAGUGUCUACACCGGACAGUUUCUGUUUGCACGACGUUGAGUAAACUUCACAUCCAUCGGGGAAGUUACCCUUUGGGAUUACUGAUGAAGGUGAGGAGAAGAUGCUGUUCUGAGAGCUGCUGAUAAUACGUGGAUCCAAACCCACAGGCUUGAGCUGCUUAAUUGAAAUUCACGUCAAAAUGAAAUUCUGGUUUAGCUCAACUUGACUACUAUGGAUGAUGAAAAUAAAUCCCUGGGUCACACAAGGAUAGUGAUUGAGUAGAGCUUGUUUGCUGGCACAGGAAUGACAUUUCAACUGGAAUUAAAUUGUCGUCAGUUAACAGAACUGAAUUUUCAGUCAUUCUUUGACUUGAAUUUUCUUUUUUCCCAAGAUAACAUGGACAGGACCCAG